This 510-nucleotide ribosomal RNA is filed under the name Triticum aestivum (bread wheat). Its description in RNAcentral is "partial small subunit ribosomal RNA". Lineage: Eukaryota; Viridiplantae; Streptophyta; Magnoliopsida; Poales; Poaceae. The record is from RNAcentral.
AUGAAAAGCAAGGAGGGUGGGAUAGGCUUCUGGGAUCUGUAUAUUUUCAAUAAAGCAAUGCUAGCAAGGAAGAGCUCGAGGCUUAUACAGAAUCCGGAGUCCCUGUGUGCAAUUGUGCUCAAGGCAAAAUACUUUCCAAAAUGCUCUAUACUGGAGGCGGAGGAACAGCCGGGGAUGUCGUACACAUGGAGGAUCAUUUUAAGAGGGUGUGACCUGUUAAAAGAAGGAAUUGUUUGGCGCAUUGGAGAUGGAAUGCAAGUGAAUGUCUGGUCGGACCCGUGGCUUCCUAGGGGUACGACAAGACGACCAGUAGCACUACAAGGCCAGGCGAUCAUUACUAAAGUAAAUGAGCUCUUAAACCCGGUUACCGAGACAUGGGAUGACGAACUAGUGAGAGAACUCUUCACAAAGGAGGAUGCGAGAGUCAUCCUUUCCAUCCCUAUGAGAGCGGAGAUGGAGGAUUUUAUCUCCUGGCACUAUGAUAACAAAGGCAGGUUCUCUAUUAAAUCA